RNAcentral lists this ribosomal RNA (460 nucleotides) under uncultured bacterium. RNAcentral's name for it is "partial 16S ribosomal RNA". It matches the Rfam family "Bacterial small subunit ribosomal RNA", at positions 338 to 795 of the family's 1533-position model. The record is from RNAcentral.
CCUACGGGGGGCUGCAGUGAGGAAUAUUGGUCAAUGGACGAGAGUCUGAACCAGCCAAGUAGCGUGAAGGAUGACUGCCCUAUGGGUUGUAAACUUCUUUUAUAUGGGAAUAAAACGUUCCACGUGUGGGAUUUUGUAUGUACCAUAUGAAUAAGGAUCGGCUAACUCCGUGCCAGCAGCCGCUGUAAUACGGAGGAUCCGAGCGUUAUCCGGAUUUAUUGGGUUUAAAGGGAGCGUAGGUGGAUUGUUAAGUCAGUUGUGAAAGUUUGCGGCUCAACCGUAAAAUUGCAGUUGAAACUGGCAGUCUUGAGUACAGUAGAGGUGGGCGGAAGGCGUGGUGUAGCGGUGAAAUGCGUAGAUAUCACGAAGAACUCCGAUUGCGAAGGCAGUUCACUGGACUGCAACUGACACUGAGGCUCGAAAGUGUGGGUAUCAAACAGGAUUAGAUACCCCUGUAGGC